This is a non-coding RNA of Oryza glumipatula, 206 nucleotides long. The record is from Rfam. NCBI's taxonomy places the organism in Eukaryota, Viridiplantae, Streptophyta, Magnoliopsida, Poales, Poaceae.
AAAAAGACAAACCCUGGUUUUCCGUGUCCAACUUUGACUGCUCGUCUUAUAUAAAAAAUUUUUAUAAUUCGUAUUUUCAUUGUUGUUAGAUGAUAAAACAUGAUUAAUAUUUUAUGCGUGACUUGUCUUUUUAAUUUUUUUCAUAAUUUUUUCAAAUAAGACGGACAGUCAAACGUUGGGCACGGAAACUAGAGUUUGUCUUUUUU